Molecule: long non-coding RNA, 363 nt
Filed under: Homo sapiens (human)
Lineage: Eukaryota; Metazoa; Chordata; Mammalia; Primates; Hominidae
Description: non-protein coding lnc-MRPS31-2:1
Source: RNAcentral
UUACAGUUUUUGGGUUUUUUUAACAUACACUUUUUAAGUUCUUGAUUUUGUUAAAAUAGAUGACAAAAGUUGGAUCACUGCUAUUGCAUAUGGUUAAAUUUUAUACACAAAAGUCAAUCAAAUUUACUGAAUCAAAUUUAAGGUGGCUCGCUUCUAUAAUCCCAGCAUUUUGGGAGCCUGAGAAGGAAGGAUCGUUUCAGCCUGGGAGUUCCAGAUCAGCCUGGGCAACAUGGCAAAACCCAGUCUCUGCCAAAAAAUGCAAAAAUUAGCCACGUGUGGUAGCAUGCGCCUGUGGUCCCAGCUACUGAGGAGGCUGACGUGGAAAGAUUGCUUAAGGCCAGGAGUUCAAGGCUGCAGUGAGCU